RNAcentral lists this ribosomal RNA (518 nucleotides) under uncultured bacterium. RNAcentral's name for it is "bacterial SSU rRNA". It matches the Rfam family "Bacterial small subunit ribosomal RNA", at positions 10 to 518 of the family's 1533-position model. The record is from RNAcentral.
AGUUGAUCAUGGCUCAGAACGAACGCUGGCGGCGACGCUUAAGCAUGCAAGUCGAACGGCAAGAGGUAGCAAUACCUCCUAGAGUGGCGGACUGGUGAGUAACACGUGGGUGACAUACCCUUCAGAUGGGGAUAGCUAUUAGAAAUAGUAGAUAAUACCGAAUACGAGCACAGGGGUUAGAGAUCUGUGAGGAAAGGAGCUAAGGCUCCGCUGAAGGAAUGGCCUGCGGCCCAUUAGCUAGUUGGUGAGGUAAGAGCCCACCAAGGCGAUGAUGGGUAUCCGGCCUUAGAGGGUGAACGGACACAUUGGGACUGAGAUACGGCCCAGACUCCUACGGGAGGCAGCAGCUAAGAAUAUUCCGCAAUGGACGAAAGUCUGACGGAGCGACGCCGCGUGGAUGAAGAAGGCCGGAAGGUUGUAAAAUCCUUUUGAAACUGAAGAAUAAGCGUUGUAGGGAAUGACAGCGUGGUGACAGUAGGUUUUGAAUAAGCAACGGCUAAUUACGUGCCAGCAGCCGC